GCCUGGGUGGCUCAGUCGGUUGAGUGUCCGACUUCGGCUCGGGUCAUGAUCUCACGGUCUGUGAGUUCGAACCCCGCGUCGGGCU
RNAcentral lists this transfer RNA (85 nucleotides) under Felis catus (domestic cat). It matches the Rfam family "tRNA". From Rfam's summary of the family: Transfer RNA (tRNA) molecules are approximately 80 nucleotides in length. Their secondary structure includes four short double-helical elements and three loops (D, anti-codon, and T loops). Lineage: Eukaryota; Metazoa; Chordata; Mammalia; Carnivora; Felidae. The record is from Rfam by way of RNAcentral.